Long non-coding RNA from Brassica oleracea var. oleracea, 658 nucleotides. RefSeq lists it as uncharacterized. The transcript has 3 exons. NCBI's taxonomy places the organism in Eukaryota, Viridiplantae, Streptophyta, Magnoliopsida, Brassicales, Brassicaceae. The record is from RefSeq and is a predicted model, not a curated record.
UCAAUGUUGGAGAUACAAAACAAAAAACAACUGUAUCCUUCCAGAUCCCACCGCCUCUGAGCGAUAACUUUGUAACGGCUGCAGUGAUUUGAACCACUCUUCCCAUUCUCUUGCAUUUCAUCGCCCUUAACAUCUUCCAAGGUAACCGAUUGAGCCUCCUCCUAUAAAUGUGUUUGUUGCCUGCGAUGAACAGCCUCGCCGCCACGAUACCAAUAAAGACAAUCUCUGUCAAGCACAGACUCCAACACAGGCGUACACUCUUGACGAUUUGAAAGCUGGCCUUUGGAUCUUAGAACUAAGCUUUUGCAACUCAGAUAGUUCAUGUGGUAAUUGCUGGAAACGCUGUUGAAUUUUUCCGUAAACUGGACAGGUACUGAUAUACAGCUUCAAUUAUCGCCUCUUAGAAACGUUAUUACUGGCUGAUUUUUGCAGAACAUGGACUCCAAAGAUCAAUCAAAACUGUAUGAGCCCAUCAAAGAGCUUGAUAUCAUGUUUACACAAGUGAGUCAAAACCAGAUAUAAUUCCCAGCCUGAAUGAUCCAGCUAACUUCGCAUGACCUCAGCAGCCUCUGAACAGAUGCCUUUUUCCUGGAUCCGCAGCUUAAAACACCUUCAAAUCAUGUAGAAAUCCUCAUUCAUUUGAUGUGGAUAAUAUCAG